GAGCUUUCCUUUCCUAUGCCUCCUUCACCAUGUUCUUUAUCACCAACCUUCAAUUCGUUCUUGUGCAUCUGUGGGUGAUAAAUACUAUUCCGUUGUUGCUUCAAGUUAAUGAUUCCAGCUUGUAUGAGUGAGGUUCUUUCUCUUGUACUUCAUGUGUUCACCAUCUGACUAAGCUCUAAUUCCUUCCUCUUCUCUUAUAUUCCAAGUGAAAUCUUUAGUAUAUUUCCAUAAUUUUUGCUGCUAACACACUGGUCUCAUCUUUUGAUCCUUGAUUCCUCCAUCUUGUAAGUGCUCUGUCUUUAUAAUCUUUACUCUUUGACAUAUAUGUUAAUGUUGACCCUCUUCAUUCUCUUCCUAUAUAGCUAUAGCUGGGAUGGAGAUAAUGGAAUGAUCAAACCCAUUGAUAGCUAAAGAGGACCAUGGAACUCAGUCAUUGAAUCUGAUCUGACUUAGUGACCCCCAACUUACUGAAAAUCCUUUUUUGUUGGCUGGUGUAAAUAGGUAGGAUAGCAUUUUAACCUUUUUGUUGAACUUUCCUACUUGUAAAUGUGGUGAAUGUGAAAGAAACUAUUCCUGCCUUUCCAGUCCUAUUAAACCUUUUGCUAAGCUUAGUCUCAGAUAGGGACAUUGGUCCUUGUCGCUGUUUACUAUCUUUUUACCAGCACUUUUUAGCUGGUUAAAUGCUGUAAAUAUGAGCUCUUCAUGAUUAAAUGAUAAGUUAGCUAAGUAAUCCAUAAAUUGAUUGCCUUCCCUGAAUAUAUGAAC
RNAcentral lists this long non-coding RNA (765 nucleotides) under Capsicum annuum. RNAcentral describes it as "long non-coding RNA (CANN_LNC012454)". Lineage: Eukaryota; Viridiplantae; Streptophyta; Magnoliopsida; Solanales; Solanaceae. The record is from RNAcentral.